CUACGGGGGGCUGCAGUGGGGAAUUUUGCGCAAUGGGGGAAACCCUGACGCAGCAAUACCGCGUGAGUGAAGAAGGCCUUUGGGUCGUAAAGCUCUUUUCUUGGGGAAGAUAGUGACGGUACCCAAGGAAUAAGCACCGGCUAACUCCGUGCCAGCAGCCGCGGUAAUACGGAGGGUGCAAGCGUUGUUCGGAUUUACUGGGCGUAAAGGGCACGUAGGCGGCACAGCAAGUUAAGGGAGAAAUCCCGGGGCUCAACUCCGGAACUGCUCUUAAAACUGCUGAGCUAGAGAUAGUCAGAGGCGGGUGGAAUUCCAGGUGUAGAGGUGAAAUUCGUAGAUAUCUGGAGGAACACCGGUGGCGAAGGCGGCCCGCUGGGGCUAUUCUGACGCUAAGGUGCGAAAGCGUGGGGAGCAAACGGGAUUAGAUACCCUCGUAGUC
This 439-nucleotide ribosomal RNA is filed under the name uncultured bacterium. RNAcentral's name for it is "partial 16S ribosomal RNA". It matches the Rfam family "Bacterial small subunit ribosomal RNA", at positions 339 to 795 of the family's 1533-position model. The record is from RNAcentral.